UUAAGGGGUGUCCGCAAGUGCGGGCUGAGAACAGACCCUCUGACCUGAUCCGGAUCAUACCGGCGUAGGGAAACCG
RNAcentral lists this non-coding RNA (76 nucleotides) under uncultured Prevotella sp. RNAcentral's name for it is "TPP riboswitch (THI element)". The stretch from base 4 to 71 matches the Rfam family "TPP riboswitch aptamer (THI element)", at positions 11 to 88 of the family's 105-position model. Rfam says of the family: Vitamin B(1) in its active form thiamin pyrophosphate (TPP) is an essential coenzyme that is synthesised by coupling of pyrimidine and thiazole moieties in bacteria. The previously detected thiamin-regulatory element, thi box was extended, resulting in a new, highly conserved RNA secondary structure, the THI element, which is widely distributed in eubacteria and also occurs in some archaea. Lineage: Bacteria; Pseudomonadati; Bacteroidota; Bacteroidia; Bacteroidales; Prevotellaceae. The record is from RNAcentral.